Molecule: non-coding RNA, 115 nt
Organism: Triticum urartu
Lineage: Eukaryota; Viridiplantae; Streptophyta; Magnoliopsida; Poales; Poaceae
Source: Rfam
CUCUUACUCCCUCCGUUCCAAAUUACUCGUCGCAGAAAUGGAUGUAUCUAGAACUAAAAUACAUCCAGAUACAUUCAUUUCUGCGAUGAGUAAUUCAGAACAGAGGGAGUACAUC